RNAcentral lists this long non-coding RNA (231 nucleotides) under Gossypium raimondii (Peruvian cotton). RNAcentral describes it as "long non-coding RNA (GRAI_LNC002065)". Lineage: Eukaryota; Viridiplantae; Streptophyta; Magnoliopsida; Malvales; Malvaceae. The record is from RNAcentral.
CCCUUCUCAGUUUGGCACUACAUCAAGGCCUUACCCGCUUUUCAUUCUCUACAAUUCGCUGAAUUUGUUCAUAGUGCAAAUUGUGGUUUCAACGAAAAGGAAGCUAUAAAAUUUGAUAUAAACUUACCUUUCGAGCUCCUCCAUAUUUCUCGUCGUUACUCUCACUGUCACUGCUGCUGCUGCUGUCAUCGACAGCAUCUUUGAUCUUCUGGAUAAGACCUCCCCUCUUGC